RNAcentral lists this ribosomal RNA (254 nucleotides) under uncultured bacterium. Its description in RNAcentral is "partial 16S ribosomal RNA". It matches the Rfam family "Bacterial small subunit ribosomal RNA", at positions 524 to 776 of the family's 1533-position model. The record is from RNAcentral.
UACGUAGGGGGCAAGCGUUGUCCGGAUUUAUUGGGCGUAAAGAGCGUGUAGGCGGCCAGGGAGGUCCGUUGUGAAAACUCGAGGCUCAACCUCGAGACGCCGAUGGAAACCCCCUGGCUAGAGUCCGGAAGAGGAGAGUGGGAAUUCCUGGUGUAGCGGUGAAAUGCGCAGAUAUCAGGAAGAACACCCGUGGCUAAGGCGGCUCUCUAGUACGGUACUGACGCUGAGACGCGAAAGCGUGGGGAGCGAACAGG